AUUGAACGCUGGCGGCAGGCCUAACACAUGCAAGUCGAGCGAGCGGCGGACGGGUGAGUAAUGUAUGGGGACUGCCCGAUAGAGGGGGAUAACUACUGGAAACGGUGGCUAAUACCGCAUACUAUCGGAUAACCCAUAUGGGAUUAGCGAGUAGGUGGGGUAAAGGCUCACCUAGGCGACGAUCUCUAGCUGGUCUGAGAGGAUGAUCUGCAACACUGGGACUGAGACACGGCCCAGACUCCUACGGAGGCAGCAGUGGGGAAGAUUGCACAAUGUGCGCAAGCCUGAUGCAGCCAGGCAGCGUGGAUGAAGAAGGCCUUAGGGUUGUAAAGUACUUUCAGCGGGGAGGCGUUACCCGCAGAAAGCCACGUCUAACUACGUGCCAGCAGCCGCGGUAAUUC
RNAcentral lists this ribosomal RNA (401 nucleotides) under uncultured bacterium. RNAcentral's name for it is "partial 16S ribosomal RNA". It matches the Rfam family "Bacterial small subunit ribosomal RNA", at positions 30 to 526 of the family's 1533-position model. The record is from RNAcentral.